GUUGGUUAGAGAGUGUUACAGCGCACUCGUAACGCGAAGGUCGUAGGUUCGAUUCCUAUUGCCGGCACCA
RNAcentral lists this transfer RNA (70 nucleotides) under Methylomonas methanica MC09. Its description in RNAcentral is "tRNA-Thr". The record is from RNAcentral. Lineage: Bacteria; Pseudomonadati; Pseudomonadota; Gammaproteobacteria; Methylococcales; Methylococcaceae.